UGGGGAAUAUUGGACAAUGGGCGCAAGCCUGAUCCAGCCAUGCCGCGUGAGUGAUGAAGGCCUUAGGGUUGUAAAGCUCUUUCGCCGGUGAAGAUAAUGACGGUAACCGGAGAAGAAGCCCCGGCUAACUUCGUGCCAGCAGCCGCGGUAAUACGAAGGGGGCUAGCGUUGCUCGGAAUCACUGGGCGUAAAGCGCACGUAGGCGGAUCGUUAAAGUCAGGGGGUGAAAAUCCUGGAGCUCAAACUCCAGAACUGCCCUUGAUACUGGCGAUCUCGAGUUCGAGAGAGGUUGGUGGAACUCCGAGUGUAGAGGUGAAAAUUCGUAGAUAUUCGGAAGAAACACCAGUGGCGAAGGCGGCCAAACUGGCUCGAUACCUGACGCUGAGGUGCG
This 391-nucleotide ribosomal RNA is filed under the name uncultured bacterium. RNAcentral's name for it is "partial 16S ribosomal RNA". It matches the Rfam family "Bacterial small subunit ribosomal RNA", at positions 355 to 755 of the family's 1533-position model. The record is from RNAcentral.